UUCGAAGUAAACAUUCAGUACCUUCCAGGACAUUUUGAUUGAUGAAUGAAUUGAGGAACAUAGCUUAGAGUAAAGAGAAAAUAACAAUGUAAUACUUUAAAACAAUGAGUUUUUAGUUAACUGUCUUUCAUUAAGUUAUAGUUAUACAAAUUGGUGAUGAUAACAAGAAAUGUAUUUUAUUUGAGACCACUCUUUCUGCUACUUUGAGAUCUUAACACAUGUGAUUGUAAUUCUAACAGGAUGUAUUUUUCUUACAAAAGCUACUCUAUGGUAUUGAUUUGGAAGAACAAAGGAAUUUGAUCUGCCUGGAAAUACUACAGAGGGAUGGAAACCGAAACCGAUCAUUCUAGAAUUUUUCUUUUUUUUUUUUUUUUUUUUUUUUUUGGUUUUUCUCCGGUACCGGGAACUGAACUCACGACCUUGCGCUUGCCAGGCAGGCGCUUUUGCCGCUGAGCUAAAUCCCCAGCCCCCAUUCUAGAAUUUUUCAAAGACAGUUUUCUUUAAAGAAAAAUGUAUCAAUGACAGGGUGUCUUAAAUAAACCAUGUAGAGAAAUCUUUUCUAAAUAAUUUUAUACAUUAUUUCUCUGGAUUCGUGCAGUAGUCAUCUCAUGAGCGUGGCAAUUACAAUCAUCUCCAUUUUACAAGUAAGAAAAGUGGAACGUGCAAAAACAGAACCACUAAGUAAAAGGAGCAGACUUCGCAAGCUGCAGCUCUUUGCUACCAGCAGAGGUCUACGGAAGGUGUACAGUGAGCCAUGGGAACAAGGUGUGAGGAAAUUAAUGAAUUUUGAAGGAGCUAUUUGUUUCUCUUCAUACCAUAGAAGAAAUUUACUUCCAUUUACUUCAUUUCUCUUCUGUUCAAAUCAUCUAUCACCUUUUGACAUGCCAAAUAGUACCCCAAAGAUUUACAGGUAUGUUUAUAGUGCACUAAUUGCAAAAUUCCAUUAAUUGGAUAGUUUAAAAAUUGCCACCCACUAAUUUCUAUUUCAAAUAACUUCAGAAUUAAGUAUCAAUGGCUAUUCACUUGAAUUUAUUCUUGAUUUAAUUCAUUCCUUAUUCAAAUUAAUUAUGCAGCUUGCUAAGGGAAAUAAAUGAGCAAAAGGUAAUAAUUUAAAGUCUGCUAUGUAUAUAUUUAUGUAUGUGUAUAUUUACAAGUUUAGCAAGUAAUAUUUAUAUAUUUUUAUUUUAUUAUUUUGCUGGUACUGGUCAUCAAACUCAAGGCCUCAAGCUUAGAAACAGGUACUGUACCACUGAGCUAUAUCCCCAGCCCAGUCAAACUUAUAGUAAUACUGAAUAUCUGAAUGUGACCAGUAAUAAAAGUAAAUAUAGAAUGAAAACAAUUAAAAAAAUGAAUUUCACAGAAGAAAAUGUACAAUACUAUUAGUAGAAG
RNAcentral lists this long non-coding RNA (1389 nucleotides) under Chinchilla lanigera (long-tailed chinchilla). RNAcentral describes it as "lncRNA (ENSCLAG00000028740.1)". Lineage: Eukaryota; Metazoa; Chordata; Mammalia; Rodentia; Chinchillidae. The record is from RNAcentral.